AAGCUGUCACUGAGAGAUGGGUCUGCGUCUGAUUAGCUAGUUGGCGGGGUAAUGGCCCACCAAGGCGACGAUCAGUAGCCGGUCUGAGAGGAUGAACGGCCACAUUGGGACUGAGACACGGCCCAAACUCCUACGGAGGGCAGCAGUGGGGAAUCUUCCGCAAUGGACGAAAGUCUGAUGGAGCAACGCCGCGUGAGUGAAGAAGGGUUUCGGCUCGUAAAGCUCUGUUGUCGGGGACGAAUGUGCAGUAUUUGAAUAAAGUACUGCAAUGACGGUACCUGACGAGGAAGCCACGGCUAACUACGUG
Molecule: ribosomal RNA, 307 nt
Filed under: uncultured bacterium
Lineage: Bacteria
Description: bacterial SSU rRNA
Rfam family: Bacterial small subunit ribosomal RNA
Source: RNAcentral